GAAGGUGUACUGUGAGGUAUGCUGGAGGUAUCAGAAGUGCGAAUGCUGACAUAAGUAACGAUAAAGCGGGUGAAAAGCCCGCUCGCCGGAAGACCAAGGGUUCCUGUCCAACGUUAAUCGGGGCAGGGUGAGUCGACCCCUAAGGCGAGGCCGAAAGGCGUAGUCGAUGGGAAACAGGUUAAUAUUCCUGUACUUGGUGUUACUGCGAAGGGGGGACGGAGAAGGCUAUGUUGGCCGGGCGACGGUUGUCCCGGUUUAAGCGUGUAGGCUGGUUUUCCAGGCAAAUCCGGAAAAUCAAGGCUGAGGCGUGAUGACGAGGCACUACGGUGCUGAAGCAACAAAUGCCCUGCUUCCAGGAAAAGCCUCUAAGCAUCAGGUAACAUCAAAUCGUACCCCAAACCGACACAGGUGGUCAGGUAGAGAAUACCAAGGCGCUUGAGAGAACUCGGGUGAAGGAACUAGGCAAAAUGGUGCCGUAACUUCGGGAGAAGGCACGCUGAUAUGUAGGUGAAGUCCCUUGCGGAUGGAGCUGAAAUCAGUCGAAGAUACCAGCUGGCUGCAACUGUUUAUUAAAAACACAGCACUGUGCAAACACGAAAGUGGACGUAUACGGUGUGACGCCUGCCCGGUGCCGGAAGGUUAAUUGAUGGGGUUAGCGGUAACGCGAAGCUCUUGAUCGAAGCCCCGGUAAACGGCGGCCGUAACUAUAACGGUCCUAAGGUAGCGAAAUUCCUUGUCGGGUAAGUUCCGACCUGCACGAAUGGCGUAAUGAUGGCCAGGCUGUCUCCACCCGAGACUCAGUGAAAUUGAACUCGCUGUGAAGAUGCAGUGUACCCGCGGCAAGACGGAAAGACCCCGUGAACCUUUACUAUAGCUUGACACUGAACAUUGAGCCUUGAUGUGUAGGAUAGGUGGGAGGCUUUGAAGUGUGGACGCCAGUCUGCAUGGAGCCGGCCUUGAAAUACCACCCUUUAAUGUUUGAUGUUCUAACGUUGGCCCCUGAUCGGGGUUGCGGACAGUGUCUGGUGGGUAGUUUGACUGGGGCGGUCUCCUCCUAAAGAGUAACGGAGGAGCACGAAGGUUGGCUAAUCCUGGUCGGACAUCAGGAGGUUAGUGCAAUGGCAUAAGCCAGCUUGACUGCGAGCGUGACGGCGCGAGCAGGUGCGAAAGCAGGUCAUAGUGAUCCGGUGGUUCUGAAUGGAAGGGCCAUCGCUCAACGGAUAAAAGGUACUCCGGGGAUAACAGGCUGAUACCGCCCAAGAGUUCAUAUCGACGGCGGUGUUUGGCACCUCGAUGUCGGCUCAUCACAUCCUGGGGCUGAAGUAGGUCCCAAGGGUAUGGCUGUUCGCCAUUUAAAGUGGUACGCGAGCUGGGUUUAGAACGUCGUGAGACAGUUCGGUCCCUAUCUGCCGUGGGCGCUGGAGAACUGAGGGGGGCUGCUCCUAGUACGAGAGGACCGGAGUGGACGCAUCACUGGUGUUCGGGUUGUCAUGCCAAUGGCACUGCCCGGUAGCUAAAUGCGGAAGAGAUAAGUGCUGAAAGCAUCUAAGCACGAAACUUGCCCCGAGAUGAGUUCUCCCUGACUCCUUGAGAGUCCUGAAGGAACGUUGAAGACGACGACGUUGAUAGGCCGGGUGUGUAAGCGCAGCGAUGCGUUGAGCUAACCGGUACUAAUGAACCGUGAGGCUUAACCUU
This 1695-nucleotide ribosomal RNA is filed under the name Escherichia coli. Its description in RNAcentral is "partial 23S ribosomal RNA". It matches the Rfam family "Bacterial large subunit ribosomal RNA", at positions 1252 to 2925 of the family's 2925-position model. The record is from RNAcentral. Lineage: Bacteria; Pseudomonadati; Pseudomonadota; Gammaproteobacteria; Enterobacterales; Enterobacteriaceae.